GUCUGGAUUAAUAGAUAAUAUUGGGGAAUCUCAUAUCUGCUUCUGCAUUCAACCUGCUACUGUUCAAUUUUGUUGUUUUUUAUUUUUUAUUUUUUAAACCCUUACCUUUCAUCUUGGAGCCAAUUGGCUCCAAGGCAGAAGAGUGGUAAGGGCUAGGCAAUGGGGGUCAAGUGACUUGCCCAGGGUCACACAGCUGGGAAGUGGCUGAGGCCAGAUUUGAACCUAGGAGCUCCCUUCUCUAGGCCUGGCUCUCAAUCCACUGAGCCAUCCAGCUGCCCCUUGUAUGUUGUUUUAAUUGAAGUGUAAUGAAACAAUCUGGCCUCACCUGGUAUAUAGUUGGGAAAGAGAGGAGUAUUUCACUUGGUAAAUUCCAUUUUAGCAUGAUUGUGAACAUGGCUUUGAUCUCCUAGAAAGGGUCACAAGGCCCCACAGGACUGAGUCCCCUGGCCACACUGCCCUAAAGAGACUAGUACCGAAAAUGAAGGCAGAACAUCUGCUCUCACCAUCCAAGGAUCGAGGCAGCGCGGGUGUGGGUUUGUUAGCAGCCUGUGAGAAAGGAAGUGGGCCUGAGAAAGGCACUCCUCGGUGCAGCUGGUUAUAAUUAGUGCUUGCACCUGGGAGACUGGGCAGUUUCCUGUCCUUGAGGUUUGAAAGUUUCAACCUCAGGAGUGAAAACAAGCUGGCAGAAAGGGGGGCUGGAGCAGAGGCGUGCAAGGACAGCCCUCAGGAACUCUGGCAACCUUCCGCUCGCGCCGAGGCCCCCCAAGUCCAUGUUUGUGUUGUUCAGCUCUGACAACACCGCCUUACAGUCUGCCUCUCACCAACAGACUGAUUGAGGAGCAUACACUUCCAGGGGCCAGUGAUCUAUGGAUUUACAGCUCCUGUGAGUCUUGUUCUUCUGGAAGUUCAACUUGCACUUCUACUGGAGUUCUACUGGCCGUUCUACUGGAGAGGAGAAUAAUUCUUCAUUCAGAAGAGUGCUGACUGGACCUGUUUUUCCUGGUGACCCUGUUCCUUUGAACUGACAUGUGCAAGGGAAGGUGCAAAGUGGAUUGCAAGUAUUGAUUGACAGCCCUCAAGCCAAGGAUUCUACAAGAGCUGGCUGGGUCAAAAUUCUAACGGAGUUGGAGCAGCUUUCAACUGUCAGUCUGAAGCUGGAUCUCCACACGAAGCUUUGACUCUGAGAUUCUCCUUGGGAAAAAAACAUCUUUCAAGCUGCCUGCCUUAGAUUAGCACCAAGAAAAAGUUGAGAGGAAGUUCCCCAUUCAUUCUGGUUGGACAAAGUCAUUUUGGAAGAGAAUGUCUCCCUUUCCUGGAUCUUCUAAUGACUUUACAAUUGGAUGUCUUCAGUCUGACCCUCCAAGGACUCUGUGUGAGAAUCUGGGCUCUCUGUUUGGACUUAUCCUUAGUUAAUUUUAGUUUAGUUUAAUUUAGACAGUUUAAGCUUAGUAUAGGAACUUAUUAGGUUAAGUAUCUGGGUGGGUGAUACUCAGAUGGUCAACCUUCUCCAUUCCUUCCCCAUCAUUACCUUCCUUUAUUAAUAAAUGUAUUUAUAUAAUUGUGUGUUUUCCCUUU
RNAcentral lists this long non-coding RNA (1575 nucleotides) under Monodelphis domestica (gray short-tailed opossum). RNAcentral's name for it is "lncRNA (ENSMODG00000042464.1)". Lineage: Eukaryota; Metazoa; Chordata; Mammalia; Didelphimorphia; Didelphidae. The record is from RNAcentral.